Molecule: long non-coding RNA, 476 nt
Organism: Cydia splendana
Lineage: Eukaryota; Metazoa; Arthropoda; Insecta; Lepidoptera; Tortricidae
Exons: 2
Source: RefSeq, a predicted model, not a curated record
GACAUAAUUUCUUCCUUUCGCCGAUGAGGUUACAAGCAAAAUUAACGAGUCAAAGAUGGAUACGGAGUACGCGUGCGGGGGGAGGGGCGGCCAGUGCGUUUAGGAAUCUUGUUUUUAGUACACUUUACUAAUAUCUAUAAAGCUAUUUACUAUUUACGGAAAUAAGAAUAAAACUCAUAAGAAUAAGAAAGGGACUUGUUAUUACAAGAUUACCAAGUAUAGAAAUCAGAAUUGACUUAUAAUUAUUAAUACUCAUUUGUAGCCACCGAUUUCAAUAAAUCACAUUUGUAUUAUCUAGUAAUCUUUGCGUACUGUAACUAUUAUUUUAUUUAUUUAUUUAAUCUUUAUUGCACAAAAGAAAACCUUAUAGUACAAAAGGCGGACUUAAUGCCAUAAGGCAUUCUCUACCAGUCAACCUUAAGGCUAAGCAGAGAGAUUGUGAGCGGUGCUACAAUUACAACAGCAAAAACAAUCAA